GGGGAAUAUUGGACAAUGGACCAAAAGUCUGAUCCAGCAAUUCUGUGUGCACGAUGACGUUUUUCGGAAUGUAAAGUGCUUUCAGUUGGGAAGAAAAAAAUGACGGUACCAACAGAAGAAGUGACGGCUAAAUACGUGCCAGCAGCCGCGGUAAUACGUAUGUCACAAGCGUUAUCCGGAUUUAUUGGGCGUAAAGCGCGUCUAGGUGGUUAUGUAAGUCUGAUGUGAAAAUGCAGGGCUCAACUCUGUAUUGCGUUGGAAACUGUAUGACUAGAGUACUGGAGAGGUAAGCGGAACUACAAGUGUAGAGGUGAAAUUCGUAGAUAUUUGUAGGAAUGCCGAUGGGGAAGCCAGCUUACUGGACAGAUACUGACGCUAAAGCGCGAAAGCGUGGGUAGCAAACAGGAUUAGAUACCCUGGUAGUCCACGCCGUAAACGAUGAUUACUAGGUGUUGGGGGUCGAACCUCAGCGCCCAAGCUAACGCGAUAAGUAAUCCGCCUGGGGAGUACGUACGCAAGUAUG
Molecule: ribosomal RNA, 523 nt
Filed under: uncultured bacterium
Lineage: Bacteria
Description: bacterial SSU rRNA
Rfam family: Bacterial small subunit ribosomal RNA
Source: RNAcentral